Molecule: long non-coding RNA, 459 nt
Filed under: Androctonus crassicauda
Lineage: Eukaryota; Metazoa; Arthropoda; Arachnida; Scorpiones; Buthidae
Source: RNAcentral
GUGUUCCAUGUGACUUGCUUCUUUCUGGUGCUGUUUGAUUCUGACAAUGUAUCGAUAUUCGGUGGAAGAGCACAUGUUUCUUGUGAACAGUAUUGGAUAAGUAGUUCCUGUAAGACAUAUCAGCAAUUAUUUUUAGAACAUUUUGGUGGUCAACAUAGACCAUCUAAACAUUCAAGGCUUGGUGAUGAAGCUGAAGACAAAAGGAACAUUGUUAGAUCUGCACAGCAGGGGCCGUCUGCAGUUAUUGGAAGAAAGUGUGGGUGAGGUGAAGACACGAUUGUUGGUAUUGCUCACAAAGUCUCUUUGCCAUUUAUUGCAGGAAUAUGGAUUAUCAUGUAGCACAUGUCACAGAGCUGCUAAGAAAGCAUGCCUGUAUCCCUACAAGUUUACAGUUGUUCAUGAACUGAUACAGACUGACCAUGAUAAACUCUAACAUAUUGCCAUUGCUCUAAAUCUUUC